RNAcentral lists this ribosomal RNA (508 nucleotides) under Forskalia tholoides. Its description in RNAcentral is "partial 16S ribosomal RNA". It matches the Rfam family "Bacterial large subunit ribosomal RNA", at positions 1833 to 2597 of the family's 2925-position model. Lineage: Eukaryota; Metazoa; Cnidaria; Hydrozoa; Siphonophorae; Forskaliidae. The record is from RNAcentral.
GCCAUAAGAAUAAAUUAUGGUGUAACCUGCCCAGUGAUAAUUAAACGGCCGCGGUAUCCUGACCGUGAUAAUGUAGCAUAAUCAUUUGUUACUUAAUUAGUAAAUAGUAUGAAUGGUUGAACGAAUUUCCCAUUUUCUUUGAUUAAGGCUUAUGAAAUUAAAAUAAUAGUAAAGAUGCUAUUUUAAAUUGAAAGACGAAAAGACCCUAUAGAGCUUAACUAUAAAUUUGAUUGGUAGUUUAGUUGGGGCGACUGCCUUUUAUUAAUAACAAAGGUAAGUAUAAUAAUAAAUUCAAUUUACUGUAUAAUAAAAUAAUUUAACAGUUACAAUAGUAGACAUAAUGACCUGUUGAAAAACAAUAAAUUGAUAAAAGCUACCUUAGGGAUAACAGAAUAAUUAUUAUUAAGAGACCGUAUCAAAGUAAUAGUUUGUCACCUCUAUGUUGAAUUAAGAUAUCCUAUAAGAGCAGUCACUUUUAAGGGUAGGUCUGUUCGACCUUUAAAAUCUU